Molecule: ribosomal RNA, 612 nt
Filed under: uncultured bacterium
Lineage: Bacteria
Description: bacterial SSU rRNA
Rfam family: Bacterial small subunit ribosomal RNA
Source: RNAcentral
GAGCGAACGUUGGCGGCAGGCCUAACACAUGCAAGUCAAAGGAGAAGCAGGACUUCGGUCUUGUGGACACUGGCGCACGGGUGAGUAACGCGUGGGAACCUACCUCAAGGUACGGAACAACCGCUGGAAACGGCGGCUAAUACCGUAUGUGCCCUUCGGGGGAAAGAUUUAUCGCCUUGAGAUGGGCCCGCGUCCGAUUAGCUUGUUGGUGAGGUAAAGGCUCACCAAGGCGACGAUCGGUAGCUGGUCUGAGAGGAUGAUCAGCCACACUGGGACUGAGACACGGCCCAGACUCCUACGGGAGGCAGCAGUGGGGAAUAUUGGACAAUGGGCGAAAGCCUGAUCCAGCCAUGUCGCGUGAAUGAAGAAGGCCUUAGGGUUGUAAAGUUCUUUCAGCGGGGAAGAUGAUGACGGUACCCGCAGAAGAAGCCCCGGCUAACUCCGUGCCAGCAGCCGCGGUAAUACGGAGGGGGCUAACGUUGCUCGGAAUUACUGGGCGUAAAGGGCGUGUAGGCGGAUUGUCUAGUCAGGCGUGAAAGCCCCGGGCUUAACCUGGGAACUGCGCUUGAUACUGACAGUCUAGAGUCCGGAAGAGGGUGGUGGAAUUCCCAG